AGAGUUUGAUCCUGGCUCAGAUUGAACGCUGGCGGCAGGCUUAACACAUGCAAGUCGAGCGGAGAUGAGGUGCUUGCACCUUAUCUUAGCGGCGGACGGGUGAGUAAUGCUUAGGAAUCUGCCUAUUAGUGGGGGACAACAUUCCGAAAGGAAUGCUAAUACCGCAUACGUCCUACGGGAGAAAGCAGGGGAUCUUCGGACCUUGCGCUAAUAGAUGAGCCUAAGUCGGAUUAGCUAGUUGGUGGGGUAAAGGCCUAUCAAGGCGACGAUCUGUAGCGGGUCUGAGAGGAUGAUCCGCCACACUGGGACUGAGACACGGCCCAGACUCCUACGGGAGGCAGCAGUGGGGAAUAUUGGACAAUGGGGGGAACCCUGAUCCAGCCAUGCCCCGUGUGUGAAGAAGGCCUUAUGGUUGUAAAGCACUUUAAGCGAGGAGGAGGCUACUGAGACUAAUACUCUUGGAUAGUGGACGUUACUCGCAGAAUAAGCACCGGCUAACUCUGUGCCAGCAGCCGCGGUAAUACAGAGGGUGCGAGCGUUAAUCGGAUUUACUGGGCGUAAAGCGUGCGUAGGCGGCUUUUUAAGUCGGAUGUGAAAUCCCCGAGCUUAACUUGGGAAUUGCAU
RNAcentral lists this ribosomal RNA (624 nucleotides) under uncultured organism. RNAcentral's name for it is "bacterial SSU rRNA". It matches the Rfam family "Bacterial small subunit ribosomal RNA", at positions 8 to 626 of the family's 1533-position model. The record is from RNAcentral.